This 64-nucleotide microRNA precursor is filed under the name Myotis brandtii (Brandt's bat). Its description in RNAcentral is "mir-9242 microRNA precursor family". It matches the Rfam family "mir-9242 microRNA precursor family". Lineage: Eukaryota; Metazoa; Chordata; Mammalia; Chiroptera; Vespertilionidae. The record is from Rfam by way of RNAcentral.
GGCCUCUCUCUUUGGGGCGAUCAAUCGUGGAGCACCCCCAUUGAUCACCCUGCAGAGGGUGGCC